AUAGUCGGAUUUAUAUCAAUCCACAUGUGUUGAGGUGGAUUGGAGCGAAAUUUGAACUAAAUUCUAUUCCAAUCCACACCAACACAUAUGGAUUGAGGUGAAUACAACA
This is a microRNA precursor of Sorghum bicolor (sorghum), 109 nucleotides long. It matches the Rfam family "MIR5565 microRNA precursor family". The record is from Rfam. NCBI's taxonomy places the organism in Eukaryota, Viridiplantae, Streptophyta, Magnoliopsida, Poales, Poaceae.